GGGGGUGUAGCUCAGCUGGCUAGAGCGUCUGGUUCGCAAUCAGAAGGUCGAGGGUUCGAUUCCCUUCACCUCCACCA
Molecule: transfer RNA, 77 nt
Filed under: Rickettsiales bacterium
Lineage: Bacteria; Pseudomonadati; Pseudomonadota; Alphaproteobacteria; Rickettsiales
Description: tRNA-Ala
Rfam family: tRNA
About the family: Transfer RNA (tRNA) molecules are approximately 80 nucleotides in length.
Source: RNAcentral